CAGCCGCCACGGGAACACGGAGGGGGCUAGCGUUGUUCGGAAUUACUGGGCGUAAAGCGCACGUAGGCGGCUUGGUAAGUUAGAGGUGAAAGCCCGGAGCUCAACUCCGGAAUUGCCUUUAAGACUGCCGAGCUAGCAGGUGAGAGAGGUAAGUGGAAUUCCGAGUGUAGAGGUGAAAUUCGUAGAUAUUCGGAAGAACAUCAGUGGCGAAGGCGGCCAUCUGGGACAACACUGACGCUGAGGCACGAAAGCGUGGGGAGCAAACAGGAUUAGAUACCCCUGUAGUCCCUGUCUCUUAUAC
RNAcentral lists this ribosomal RNA (301 nucleotides) under uncultured bacterium. Its description in RNAcentral is "partial 16S ribosomal RNA". It matches the Rfam family "Bacterial small subunit ribosomal RNA", at positions 509 to 807 of the family's 1533-position model. The record is from RNAcentral.